This 1372-nucleotide ribosomal RNA is filed under the name uncultured bacterium. RNAcentral describes it as "bacterial SSU rRNA". It matches the Rfam family "Bacterial small subunit ribosomal RNA", at positions 28 to 1381 of the family's 1533-position model. The record is from RNAcentral.
GAUGAACGCUGGCGGCGUGCCUAAUACAUGCAAGUCGAGCGAACGGACGAGAAGCUUGCUUCUCUGAUGUUAGCGGCGGACGGGUGAGUAACACGUGGAUAACCUACCUAUAAGACUGGGAUAACUUCGGGAAACCGGAGCUAAUACCGGAUAAUAUUUUGAACCGCAUGGUUCAAAAGUGAAAGACGGUCUUGCUGUCACUUAUAGAUGGAUCCGCGCUGCAUUAGCUAGUUGGUAAGGUAACGGCUUACCAAGGCAACGAUGCAUAGCCGACCUGAGAGGGUGAUCGGCCACACUGGAACUGAGACACGGUCCAGACUCCUACGGGAGGCAGCAGUAGGGAAUCUUCCGCAAUGGGCGAAAGCCUGACGGAGCAACGCCGCGUGAGUGAUGAAGGUCUUCGGAUCGUAAAACUCUGUUAUUAGGGAAGAACAUAUGUGUAAGUAACUGUGCACAUCUUGACGGUACCUAAUCAGAAAGCCACGGCUAACUACGUGCCAGCAGCCGCGGUAAUACGUAGGUGGCAAGCGUUAUCCGGAAUUAUUGGGCGUAAAGCGCGCGUAGGCGGUUUUUUUAGUCUGAAUGUGAAAGCCCACGGCUCACCGUGGAGGGUCAUUGGAAACUGGAAAACUUGAGUGCAGAAGAGGAAAGUGGAAUUCCAUGUGUAGCGGUGAAAUGCGCAGAGAUAUGGAGGAACACCAGUGGCGAAGGCGACUUUCUGGUCUGUAACUGACGCUGAUGUGCGAAAGCGUGGGGAUCAAACAGGAUUAGAUACCCUGGUAGUCCACGCCGUAAACGAUGAGUGCUAAGUGUUAGGGGGUUUCCGCCCCUUAGUGCUGCAGCUAACGCAUUAAGCACUCCGCCUGGGGAGUACGACCGCAAGGUUGAAACUCAAAGGAAUUGACGGGGACCCGCACAAGCGGUGGAGCAUGUGGUUUAAUUCGAAGCAACGCGAAGAACCUUACCAAAUCUUGACAUCCUUUGACAACUCUAGAGAUAGAGCCUUCCCCUUCGGGGGACAAAGUGACAGGUGGUGCAUGGUUGUCGUCAGCUCGUGUCGUGAGAUGUUGGGUUAAGUCCCGCAACGAGCGCAACCCUUAAGCUUAGUUGCCAUCAUUAAGUUGGGCACUCUAAGUUGACUGCCGGUGACAAACCGGAGGAAGGUGGGGAUGACGUCAAAUCAUCAUGCCCCUUAUGAUUUGGGCUACACACGUGCUACAAUGGACAAUACAAAGGGCAGCGAAACCGCGAGGUCAAGCAAAUCCCAUAAAGUUGUUCUCAGUUCGGAUUGUAGUCUGCAACUCGACUACAUGAAGCUGGAAUCGCUAGUAAUCGUAGAUCAGCAUGCUACGGUGAAUACGUUCCCGGGUCU